UACAGAGGGUGCGAGCGUUUGUUCGGAAUUAUUGGGCGUAAAGAGCGCGUAGGCGGUCCGGUAAGUCCGCUCUGAAAGUCCGGGGGCUCAACCCCCGGGAGGCGGGCGGAUACUGUCGGGCUAGAGUCCGGAAGAGGCGAGUGGAAUUCCUGGUGUAGCGGUGAAAUGCGCAGAUAUCAGGAGGAACACCAAUGGCGAAGGCAGCUCGCUGGGACGGUACUGACGCUGAGGCGCGAAAGCAUGGGGGAGCGAACAGG
Molecule: ribosomal RNA, 257 nt
Filed under: uncultured bacterium
Lineage: Bacteria
Description: partial 16S ribosomal RNA
Rfam family: Bacterial small subunit ribosomal RNA
Source: RNAcentral